Molecule: ribosomal RNA, 112 nt
Filed under: uncultured bacterium
Lineage: Bacteria
Description: partial 16S ribosomal RNA
Rfam family: Bacterial small subunit ribosomal RNA
Source: RNAcentral
CUCGGACCUUGUACACACCGCCCGUCACGCCACGAAAGCCGUCUACACCCGAAAUUAUUUUAGCUAACCGUAAAGGAGGCGGAUAAUGAAGGUGAAGGAGGGUGAUUGGGUG